Molecule: ribosomal RNA, 91 nt
Filed under: Bacillus anthracis (anthrax bacterium)
Lineage: Bacteria; Bacillati; Bacillota; Bacilli; Caryophanales; Bacillaceae
Also listed under: 18 other names
Source: RNAcentral
UUUGGUGAUGAUGGCAGAGAGGUCACACCCGUUCCCAUACCGAACACGGAAGUUAAGCUCUCUAGCGCCGAUGGUAGUUGGGACCUUGUCC